RNAcentral lists this ribosomal RNA (250 nucleotides) under uncultured bacterium. Its description in RNAcentral is "partial 16S ribosomal RNA". It matches the Rfam family "Bacterial small subunit ribosomal RNA", at positions 524 to 773 of the family's 1533-position model. The record is from RNAcentral.
UACGAAGGGAGCUAGCGUUGUUCGGAAUUACUGGGCGUAAAGGGCGCGUAGGCGGUUUGGUCAGUCAGAUGUGAAAGCCCUGGGCUCAACCCGGGAACUGCGUUUGAUACUGCCAAGCUUGAAUUCGGGAGAGGUGAGUGGAAUUCCCAGUGUAGAGGUGAAAUUCGUAGAUAUUGGGAAGAACACCAGUGGCGAAGGCGGCUCACUGGACCGACAUUGACGCUGAGGCGCGAAAGCGUGGGGAGCAAAC